AGUCGCAUGCCGUAGACCCGAAGCCGAGUGAGCUAUCCAUGGGCAGUGUGAAGCGGAGGUAAGACUCUGUGGAGGCGCGAACCGACUUCAGUUGAAAAUGGAGCGGAUGACCUGUGGAUAGGGGUGAAAGGCCAAUCAAACUCGGUGAUAGCUGGUUCUCCGCGAAAUGCAUUUAGGUGCAGCGUCGUGCGUUCAACGAUGGGGGUAGAGCACUGAAUGGGCUAGGGGUCCUACAAGACUACCGACCCCAAUCAAACUCCGAAUACCAUCGUUCCAGAGCACGGCAGUGAGACCUCGGGGGAUGAGCUUCGAGGUCGAGAGGGAAACAGCCCAGACCGCCGGCUAAGGUCCCAAAAUCUGAACUAAGUGGUAAACGAUGUGAGAUUGCGAAGACAGCCAGGAGGUUGGCUUGGAAGCAGCCAUCCUUGAAAGAGUGCGUAACAGCUCACUGGUCGAGUGAUCUUGCGCGGACAAUGUAACAGGGCUCAAGUUCAGUACCGAAGCCGCGGAUGCGACUCUUUGAGUCGUGUGGUAGCGGAGCGUCGAGCGUGCAGCGAAGCGGCGGGACAACCCAGCCGUGGAGCGCGUUCGAGUGCGAAUGUUGGCAUGAGUAGCGAAUGAGGGGUGAGAACCCCCUCCGCCGUAUGUCCAAGGGUUCCUGGGCGAGGCCAAUCCUCCCAGGGUGAGUCGGGAGCUAAGGCGAGGCCGAGAGGCGUAGUCGAUGCACAACUGGUUGAUAUUCCAGUACCACCAUGUUCGCGUCCGUCCCAAUACUCUGUUGCUAAGGGGCUGUGUUGACUUCGGUCAACGCGAACCGACCCACAUUGUUGCGGGAAGCUGUAGGGGGACGCAGGAAGGUAGAUGAACCCGGUGAAUGGUAGAACCGGGGUAAGCGUGUAGGAGGAGGACCAGGUAAAUCCGGGCCUCAUAAACUCUGAGACGUGAUACCGAGCCGCUUCAGGCGAAGUCAUUGAUCCUAUGCUGCCUAGAAAAGCCCAGCAGCGAGUUGACAUGGUGCCCGUACCCCAAACCAACACAGGUGGACAGGUAGAGCAUACCAAGGCGAGUGGGAUAACUAUGGUUAAGGAACUCGGCAAAUUGCCUCCGUAACUUCGGGAGAAGGAGGACCCCAGUAGCGUGAUGAGACUUGCUCUCUGAGCGUGAAGGGGUGGCACAAAAUUGAGGGAAGCGACUGUUUACCAAAAACACAGCAGCGUGCUAAGCCGUAAGGCGCUGUAUACGCUGUGACUCCUGCCCGGUGCUGGAAGGUUACGGGGAUGGGUUAGUCCUUCGGGACGAAGCUCUGAACCUAAGCCCCAGUAAACGGCGGCCGUAACUAUAACGGUCCUAAGGUAGCGAAAUUCCUUGUCGGGUAAGUUCCGACCUGCACGAAUGGAGUAACGACUUCCCUACUGUCUCAACCAUAGACCCAGCGAAAUUGAAGUACGAGUAAAGAUGCUCGUUAGCUGCAGAAGGACGGAAAGACCCCGUGGACCUUUACUAUAACUUGAUGUUGUGUUUUGUCAUAUGUUGUGUAGGAUAGGUGGGAGACUUGGAAGCAUGGACGCUAGUCUGUGUGGAGUCG
Molecule: ribosomal RNA, 1585 nt
Filed under: metagenome
Description: bacterial LSU rRNA
Rfam family: Bacterial large subunit ribosomal RNA
Source: RNAcentral